CCUACGGGUGGCUGCAGUGAGGAAUAUUGGUCAAUGGACGAGAGUCUGAACCAGCCAAGUAGCGUGAAGGAUGACUGCCCUAUGGGUUGUAAACUUCUUUUAUAAGGGAAUAAAAUGUUGCACGUGUGCGUUUUUGCAUGUACUUUAUGAAUAAGGAUCGGCUAACUCCGUGCCAGCAGCCGCGGUAAUACGGAGGAUCCGAGCGUUAUCCGGAUUUAUUGGGUUUAAAGGGAGCGUAGAUGGGUUGUUAAGUCAGUUGUGAAAGUUUGCGGCUCAACCGUAAAAUUGCAGUUGAUACUGGCAGUCUUGAGUACAGUAGAGGUGGGCGGAAUUCGUGGUGUAGCGGUGAAAUGCUUAGAUAUCACGAAGAACCCCGAUUGCGAAGGCAGCUUACUAGACUGCAACUGACACUGAGGCUCGAAAGUGUGGGUAUCAAACAGGAUUAGAUACCCGGGUAGUC
This 460-nucleotide ribosomal RNA is filed under the name uncultured bacterium. RNAcentral's name for it is "partial 16S ribosomal RNA". It matches the Rfam family "Bacterial small subunit ribosomal RNA", at positions 338 to 795 of the family's 1533-position model. The record is from RNAcentral.